ACACCUCAUGCUGGGCAGGGGUGUUGAAACUUCUCCAUUGCCUCAGGAAAGGGGGAGACUGUGCCUGAGACCUCCCUAACCUCAUCAGGUGCCCAAUGUGCAGUGAGGCUCCUGGACUGUUAUUGUCACCCGGGCACAAAGCCAUGCUGCUUCCUUCUCCUGUCUCUCCUUCUCCUCCAUCCCCACUUGCUUCCAUUGUCAAGCCCUCACUAGAAAUGCACAACCUGCCUCUAAACUUAACCACAAUCAGGACCACAAAAGCAGCCCCAUGUGCUCUGGUCAAGGGAUCUCCUAUUAGUACCUGGGUAUCUGGGGCUUCCCAAGGUGUGAAAAGAGAAGACCUGGCAGCAGGAUGCUGUAUAGGACCAUGAAGGCAAAAACCAUCAUGGGGGAGCACAGGUUUAGCUUUGACAUUGGAAGCCACUUCUCACAGCUGGAGGUGGGGAUGGACAAGGGCCAGCCUUGGAAGGGCUUCUCACCUCAACCAGCAUGUGGGAUCCAGCCUUGAAGAUGUUCCUCAGGGCAGCAGCACUUCCAAGGAGACCUCCAUCCACCCAGGCCUUGCUGCAGAAACAUAAGGGAUAAACACAAUCAUUUCAAAGAAGCGAAUGCUUCCCACCGGAGGAGCCAACAGGGACCUGCCGCGAAGUCCUGGUACGGUGUGUCACUGACACUGAUUCAAUCUGACACCCGGGUGUCUCCAAAGCCAUCACAUUGUAUGCUGCAAAUGUAUAUUAACAUUAGUAUGCAUUGGCACAAUAUGGAUCCAUUAUUCCAAAUGCUUAUGAGAACUAGGUGCUGCAUAGGAGCAGCUGCUGCUUUUUAAGCCUCAGAGCAUCAAUAGAUUCAUAGAUUUUAGGGCCAGAAGGGACCCUGGUGAUCAUGGAGUCUGACCUCCCAUGGAGCAUGAGCCUGGUAAUUUCUGCAUCCAGCCCCAUCACUCGUGGAUAAGCAGCAGCUUCCGCUGUGAAAGGCACCAGCUCAGCGAUGGAGAAGUUGAUGUCUCCCCCUUUUAAAUCUGUUCCCUCCUUUUAUCACUCUCCUCAUUAAUCUUAAAAGGGAAAUCCUUAAUUUCAAGGCUCAGCCUGUGUAGGUCCAACUUCCCACCACUUGGUCCUCUCAGGUCCCAUCUUCCCUCCCUUCUUCUGUACCAGAUGAUAUUUUCCCCCUGUUGUUGAAGUAGUGGCUACAUAGGAGAAAAGAAACGUUCCAGUGUCCUGGAAUGUUGGCUGCUAAAGGAUUAGUCCUUCUUAUGGAAAGGAAUGGUACCUGGGAAAUGUUCAAAUGCGGGGUCAUCCUUUGACUGUGAACAUUUAGUCUUUGUUUAAAAAAGUGCCAAACUGUAUAAAUGCAUUUUGCAGCAAAGGAGCGAUGCUGGAGAUGGGUUUUGGGUUAAAUUGCUUGUCUUGCUCCCAGAAAAUGACAGAAGAGAAGAGAAUGAAAAUCCAUUAAAUCAAUGAAACAAAAAGAGCUGAAAGUCCUAUGUUACGGUCACAAAACCCCUCCAC
This is a long non-coding RNA of Neopsephotus bourkii (Bourke's parrot), 1508 nucleotides long. RefSeq lists it as uncharacterized. The transcript has 3 exons. NCBI's taxonomy places the organism in Eukaryota, Metazoa, Chordata, Aves, Psittaciformes, Psittacidae. The record is from RefSeq and is a predicted model, not a curated record.